CCCGGUGGUAAUACCGGAGGGGUAACACCUCUUCCCAUUCCGAACAGAGUCGUUAAGCCCUCCAGGGCCAAUGGUACUGUGUUGGUAACGACACGGGAGAGUAGGUCGCCACCGGGU
RNAcentral lists this ribosomal RNA (117 nucleotides) under Caldifarciminota bacterium. The record is from RNAcentral. Lineage: Bacteria; Pseudomonadati; Caldifarciminota.